GGGUGAUUAGCUCAGUUGGUAGAGCAGCUGACUCUUAAUCAGCGGGUCCACGGUUCGAGUCCGUGAUCACCCA
RNAcentral lists this transfer RNA (73 nucleotides) under Hyphomicrobium denitrificans ATCC 51888. It matches the Rfam family "tRNA". Rfam says of the family: Transfer RNA (tRNA) molecules are approximately 80 nucleotides in length. Their secondary structure includes four short double-helical elements and three loops (D, anti-codon, and T loops). The record is from Rfam by way of RNAcentral. Lineage: Bacteria; Pseudomonadati; Pseudomonadota; Alphaproteobacteria; Hyphomicrobiales; Hyphomicrobiaceae.